This 390-nucleotide long non-coding RNA is filed under the name Ananas comosus (pineapple). RNAcentral describes it as "long non-coding RNA (ACOM_LNC002948)". Lineage: Eukaryota; Viridiplantae; Streptophyta; Magnoliopsida; Poales; Bromeliaceae. The record is from RNAcentral.
UUCAAAAACCCCCUCUGUGGUUUCAUGCAUUCUCACUUUAGUAUCCUGUGGUUUAAAACGUAUCAAUUUGCCCCCCUGUGGUUUUGUUUUUAUCUUUUCAAAAGCUUUUUCGUUAAUAUUUCGUUAAAUUAUAUACAAAAAACUUCAGAUAACCAUCUAUGUUUAUCGAAUAUUCACUUUAGUAUCCUUUAAUUUUAAUUUUGUCACUGAUUUAAGAAAAAAAAAAUAAUAAAAUUGAUAAUAAAAAGAGAAAAUAAAAUCACAGGGUACUAAAUUAAUACACUUUAAACCAUAGAAUAGUAAAGUAAAAAAGUGUGAACCUAUAGAGUGAUAUUUAAAGUUUUUCCUAAAAUUUAUCUGUAAGUAGAGCGUUACUCAAAUUCUUAGGAG